This 309-nucleotide unclassified non-coding RNA is filed under the name Hevea brasiliensis (rubber tree). Lineage: Eukaryota; Viridiplantae; Streptophyta; Magnoliopsida; Malpighiales; Euphorbiaceae. The record is from RNAcentral.
CAGAAGGGAAAACAAGGAUAUUGGUGGGCUUAAGAUCACAAUGAACGUAUCCAUUAUUGUGUAUGCAUGAUAACCCUUUAAGAAUCAUGAGUGUAUCGCCUCACAUCACAUUCAUAUAUUUUUCUUCCAUAUUUGUUAAUUAAGUCUAUAAGAUUACCAUCAGAAGCAUACUCCAGUAAUAAGUUAUAAAUUGUCAUAACAUUUUCAUGACUCAAACAGUCCCUGUAGCAUUCAAUAACUCUUUCAGAUCUAAAAAGACUAAGCAAAGUUCUCAAUUCUUUUUGCAGGGAGAGAGAAUUUACUAUGAGG